AACGAACGCUGGCGGCAUGCCUAACACAUGCAAGUCGAACGAGACCUUCGGGUCUAGUGGCGCACGGGUGCGUAACGCGUGGGAACCUGCCCUUAGGUUCGGAAUAACUCCCCGAAAGGGGUGCUAAUACCGGAUAAUGUCUUCGGACCAAAGAUUUAUCGCCUUUGGAUGGGCCCGCGUUGGAUUAGCUAGUUGGUAGGGUAAAAGCCUACCAAGGCUACGAUCCAUAGCUGGUCUGAGAGGAUGAUCAGCCACACUGGGACUGAGACACGGCCCAGACUCCUACGGGAGGCAGCAGUGGGGAAUAUUGGACAAUGGGCUAGAGCCUGAUCCAGCAAUGCCGCGUGAGUGAUGAAGGCCUUAGGGUUGUAAAGCUCUUUUAACCGGGAUGAUAAUGACAGUACCGGGAGAAUAAGCUCCGGCUAACUCCGUG
RNAcentral lists this ribosomal RNA (433 nucleotides) under uncultured bacterium. Its description in RNAcentral is "partial 16S ribosomal RNA". It matches the Rfam family "Bacterial small subunit ribosomal RNA", at positions 29 to 507 of the family's 1533-position model. The record is from RNAcentral.